This 1371-nucleotide ribosomal RNA is filed under the name uncultured bacterium. RNAcentral's name for it is "bacterial SSU rRNA". It matches the Rfam family "Bacterial small subunit ribosomal RNA", at positions 28 to 1381 of the family's 1533-position model. The record is from RNAcentral.
GAUGAACGCUGGCGGCGUGCCUAAUACAUGCAAGUCGAGCGAACGGACGAGAAGCUUGCUUCUCUGAUGUUAGCGGCGGACGGGUGAGUAACACGUGGAUAACCUACCUAUAAGACUGGGAUAACUUCGGGAAACCGGAGCUAAUACCGGAUAAUAUUUUGAACCGCAUGGUUCAAAAGUGAAAGACGGUCUUGCUGUCACUUAUAGAUGGAUCCGCGCUGCAUUAGCUAGUUGGUAAGGUAACGGCUUACCAAGGCAACGAUGCAUAGCCGACCUGAGAGGGUGAUCGGCCACACUGGAACUGAGACACGGUCCAGACUCCUACGGGAGGCAGCAGUAGGGAAUCUUCCGCAAUGGGCGAAAGCCUGACGGAGCAACGCCGCGUGAGUGAUGAAGGUCUUCGGAUCGUAAAACUCUGUUAUUAGGGAAGAACAUAUGUGUAAGUAACUGUGCACAUCUUGACGGUACCUAAUCAGAAAGCCACGGCUAACUACGUGCCAGCAGCCGCGGUAAUACGUAGGUGGCAAGCGUUAUCCGGAAUUAUUGGGCGUAAAGCGCGCGUAGGCGGUUUUUUAGUCUGAUGUGAAAGCCCACGGCUCAACCGUGGAGGGUCAUUGGAAACUGGAAAACUUGAGUGCAGAAGAGGAAAGUGGAAUUCCAUGUGUAGCGGUGAAAUGCGCAGAGAUAUGGAGGAACACCAGUGGCGAAGGCGACUUUCUGGUCUGUAACUGACGCUGAUGUGCGAAAGCGUGGGGAUCAAACAGGAUUAGAUACCCUGGUAGUCCACGCCGUAAACGAUGAGUGCUAAGUGUUAGGGGGUUUCCGCCCCUUAGUGCUGCAGCUAACGCAUUAAGCACUCCGCCUGGGGAGUACGACCGCAAGGUUGAAACUCAAAGGAAUUGACGGGGACCCGCACAAGCGGUGGAGCAUGUGGUUUAAUUCGAAGCAACGCGAAGAACCUUACCAAAUCUUGACAUCCUUUGACAACUCUAGAGAUAGAGCCUUCCCCUUCGGGGGACAAAGUGACAGGUGGUGCAUGGUUGUCGUCAGCUCGUGUCGUGAGAUGUUGGGUUAAGUCCCGCAACGAGCGCAACCCUUAAGCUUAGUUGCCAUCAUUAAGUUGGGCACUCUAAGUUGACUGCCGGUGACAAACCGGAGGAAGGUGGGGAUGACGUCAAAUCAUCAUGCCCCUUAUGAUUUGGGCUACACACGUGCUACAAUGGACAAUACGAAGGGCAGCGAAACCGCGAGGUCAAGCAAAUCCCAUAAAGUUGUUCUCAGUUCGGAUUGUAGUCUGCAACUCGACUACAUGGAGCUGGAAUCGCUAGUAAUCGUAGAUCAGCAUGCUACGGUGAAUACGUUCCCGGGUCU